Molecule: long non-coding RNA, 294 nt
Filed under: Panax ginseng (ginseng)
Lineage: Eukaryota; Viridiplantae; Streptophyta; Magnoliopsida; Apiales; Araliaceae
Description: long non-coding RNA (PGIN_LNC000204)
Source: RNAcentral
AAAUUCAAGAAUGCUCAGAAGAAUAUUUCCAUGAAAAGAUACUAGAUAAAGCGCAAAUAUCAAGGAUAUUCCACUAAUUUCAUGGAGUAUAGAAAUCAAAACUUUAACCAAUUGAAUAUAAUAAAGAAUAGAAUAACAAAAGAAAUCACCAUGCAUGCGGUACUUCGCAUAGACAGGUUAUUCCAAUAGAAUAAUAAAUAACGGAACCAGGUCAGGCGUAAUACGCACCGACAGGAUAUUCCAACAGAAUAAUAAAGAAUGGAAUAACAACAGAAAUCACCAUGCAUGCGGUAC